GAGGCAAUAACAGGUCUGUGAUGCCCUUAGAUGUUCUGGGCCGCACGCGCGCUACACUGACAAUGGCAGCAAGUAUUCACCUUGGCCGGAAGGCCUGGGUAAUCUUCUGAAACAUUGUCGUGCUGGGGAUUGUCCCUUGCAAUUAUUGGACAUGAACGAGGAAUUCCUAGUAAGCGCAAGUCAUCAGCUUGCGUUGAUUACGUCCCUGCCCUUUGUACACACCGCCCGUCGCUACUACCGAUUGAAUGGCUUAGUGAGACCUCCGGAUUGAAAGCUCUUGGGCAGCAAUGCCCGAUAGCUGUUGAGAAGUUGGUCAAACUUGGUCAUUUAGAGGAAGUAAAAGUCGUAACAAGGUAACCGUAGGUGAACCUGCGGUUGGAUCAUUAUUGAACUUUUUUCUCUCAGCUGCUUAACCGCAGUUUGGGAGAGAAUAACACCCCCCUUGUGAACCUUAUAACCGUAACUGGAGUUGGCUCCGCCGAUGUGCGCGUUCCCAAUGUCUGUUUUUUUUUGUUUGGUAGCUUUGUUUGUAUGAACGGGCUGCUGAAGGAAAAAAAAUCGAUGCUGGACAAUUCGCAUUGAGGGGCCUUCGCCAAAUGUAACCACACCUAUUAUACUGUAUUAUAUUUUGUGUCUCCAUGCGAUUCAAUCUGUGAAACGCGUAUUUAAUAAAAUACAACUUUUGACAACGGAUCUCUUGGCUCUCGCAUCGAUGAAGAACGUAGCGAAUUGCGAUAAGUAAUGUGAAUUGCAGUUUCAGUGAAUCAUCAAAUCUUUGAACGCAUAUUGCACUCUCUGGUAUUCCGGGGAGUAUGCCUGUUUGAGAACCGUUUUCACCCUCACAACCCAAUCUUGAUUUCGGUCAAGAGAGGCGAGUGGAUCUGAUUAUUCCGAGGCGCUUUAGUGAGCCUGGGUUGAUCGAAAAACAGUUGUCGGAGCCUGCGUGUUGACUGAGGUCACUCGGCAUGGUCUAAUCCUUUGAUAAACGACGUGGAUGAAUGGUAGUAAUACCUUUUCAACGUCCUUAAAUUGGAUUGGGCAGCCCGUGUGGUACACCAAACUCGGUUGCUAUUGUCCUUC
Molecule: ribosomal RNA, 1080 nt
Filed under: Chytriomyces hyalinus
Lineage: Eukaryota; Fungi; Chytridiomycota; Chytridiomycetes; Chytridiales; Chytriomycetaceae
Description: bacterial SSU rRNA
Rfam family: Eukaryotic small subunit ribosomal RNA (bases 1-386)
Source: RNAcentral